Molecule: ribosomal RNA, 489 nt
Filed under: uncultured bacterium
Lineage: Bacteria
Description: bacterial SSU rRNA
Rfam family: Bacterial small subunit ribosomal RNA
Source: RNAcentral
UGCAAGUCGAGCGGCAGCGACUUAACUGAACCUUCGGGGAACGUUAAGGGCGGCGAGCGGCGGACGGGUGAGUAAUGCCUGGGAAUAUGCCCUGAUGUGAGGGAUAACUAUUGGAAACGAUGGCUAAUACCGCAUAAUCUCUUCGGAGCAAAGAGGGGGACCUUCGGGCCUCUCGCGUCAGGAUUAGCCCAGGUGGGAUUAGCUUGUUGGUGAGGUAAUGGCUCACCAAGGCAACGAUCCCUAGCUGGUCUGAGAGGAUGAUCAGCCACACUGGAACUGAGACACGGUCCAGACUCCUACGGGAGGCAGCAGUGGGGAAUAUUGCACAAUGGGGGAAACCCUGAUGUAGCCAUGCCGCGUGUGUGAAGAAGGCCUUCGGGUUGUAAAGCACUUUCAGUAGGGAGGAAGGUAGUGUAGUUAACACCUGCAUUAUUUGACGUUACCUACAGAAGAAGCACCGGCUAACUCCGUGCCAGCAGCCGCGGUAAU